This is a long non-coding RNA of Nerophis ophidion (straightnose pipefish), 349 nucleotides long. RefSeq lists it as uncharacterized. The record is from RefSeq and is a predicted model, not a curated record. The transcript has 3 exons. NCBI's taxonomy places the organism in Eukaryota, Metazoa, Chordata, Actinopteri, Syngnathiformes, Syngnathidae.
CAGCUGCUGGGUCUCUGCCACACCAGAGUCGGUUUGGAGGAACUGGAGGAGGUGCGGAUGAGGGGACAGGGCUGCGGAGCUGGCACUGAGCGCUGGGACGGAGAGGCUUCGCGGUGUCUUGGCUGGAAUAUUGAAGGAUGUUGACUCUCAGGAAUUUGGUCUCAACAGCUUACGCAAGAUCAAAGAAGAGUUCAGUAGGAUAACAACACUUCAUCUGGAGCAAACCUUUUUGUCAAAACUGGACACACACACUCCCAAACUCCUGGAGAUAUUUAGGACAAAGGGCGGAGUUGCAGGCACAAAAUCAGACUGAUGCCGGAUUCACUUGGCCAAGUAAAGUUACAGGGAC